RNAcentral lists this ribosomal RNA (471 nucleotides) under uncultured bacterium. RNAcentral describes it as "bacterial SSU rRNA". It matches the Rfam family "Bacterial small subunit ribosomal RNA", at positions 30 to 490 of the family's 1533-position model. The record is from RNAcentral.
AUUGAACGCUGGCGGCAUGCCUAACACAUGCAAGUCGAACGGCAGCACGGGAGCUUGCUCCUGGUGGCGAGUGGCGGACGGGUGAGUAAUGCAUAGGAAUCUGCCCAGUAGCGGGGGACAACUUGGGGAAACUCAAGCUAAUACCGCAUGCGCCCUACGGGGGGAAAGCGGGGGACCUUCGGGCCUCGCACUAUUGGAUGAGCCUAUGUCAGAUUAGCUUGUUGGUGGGGUAACGGCCUACCAAGGCGACGAUCUGUAGCUGGUCUGAGAGGACGAUCAGCCACACUGGGACUGAGACACGGCCCAGACUCCUACGGGAGGCAGCAGUGGGGAAUAUUGCACAAUGGGCGAAAGCCUGAUGCAGCAAUGCCGCGUGUGUGAAGAAGGCCUGCGGGUUGUAAAGCACUUUCAGUAGGGAGGAAACAGUAGCCGGUUAAUAUCCGGUUGCCUUGACGUUACCUACAGAAGAAG